GGCGUUUUCCCAUUAUAGCGUGUAUAGGAGGAGGAGUCUGCCAGCUGUAGCUUGUUUGCAGACUCGGUGCGUUUUGCACUAAGCCAGUGCUUCUAUGGGUCAGGCUUAGUUCCAGUCUGAAUUAAAAUGAAUUAAUUAUAUUUUUUCCUCUUGUUUUCAAAAAGAGUUUCUUUGACGGACAGCUUGUGAGGAGACACAGCAGCAGGGAUAUUUGGUCAUGACCGUCUCCGUUUAACUCUGCGAUGGAGUCAAGUAUGAGACUUAUUGUUCUUCUGAUUGUGAUGAGAUUUUCUGCUUCUGAGGAAGUGAAGAAGAACCUGACGGGCACUGUGGGAGGAAACAUCACUCUACCUGACUCUGUGCAGGAGAAAGACGUAGGAUUUCUGUUAUAUGGAAGAACGAAUAUUGCUCAUGUGAUUAAGGGGGGAUUUGAAAUACACAAGGACAUUUACAUGAACAGACUUCAGUGGGACAGAAACUCUGGACUCUUUACACUCACAGAGCUGCAGAGGGACGACUCAGGGAUUUAUACUGUCGACUCUAAAACAGGAAAAGUUUUCACAUCAUCAUAUAAGCUCACAGUGUACGAUCCUGUACCAACACCUAACGUGACAAAGCUGAACUCCAGCUCUGAGAGCUGCUCCUUACUGUGUUGGGUGGACAGAGAGACCACACUGCUGUGGUUCAAAGACGAGCAGAUGCUGAACCAGAGCAGCUCUGCGCUCUCUCUGCCUCUCACUGUGCACAAACAGGACUUCAGCUCCUCUUACAGAUGUGUGGCUGCAAACCCUGCAGAGGAGAAAACUCUUCCUGUCCGUGUGAGAACCACCUGUGGAGACACAGACGACAACGACACCAACAGCUCGACUGAACCAAGAAACUAUAACAUCCUCAUUAUAAUCUUCUGUCUCCUGUUGGUUGUGAUGAUCAUACUUGCUACUUUCAUCAUCAAGUCAAAGUAUCUUUCCCGAAACAAAACGAAGACAAACGGACAGGCACAAGGCAGUCUCAUUGUGUCACGGGCUGCGACGGCAGACCGUGGAGUUGUAGAGAAAGUAGGGCCCAAACACGAGACUCUAGUGAAGGACGGUGGAUUUAUUUAUGGCUCCGCAGGCACACAGGAAGAGGUCCAAUAUAGUGAAAUACAAAUAAGCAACAACAGACAGGUUGGUGAUGUUUCACUGAGAAACUCUAUCAUUAGCAGCUCUGUCUCCAGGGCAGAUGUCAUCAUGUGUCUGUUAGCAAACAUGCUGUGUUUGUUCUCACCAGUUCCUGGAAACUCAAUGCAAAUAGCACCUGCAGCACACAAAGGCUCAGGUGUGCACAGGUCAUCUGCCAAUCAGAAGGCUGGUGGUUCAAUCCCUGAGUGUGUGUGUGUGUGUGUGUGUGUGUGUGUGUGUGUGUGUGUGUGUGUGUUCGGCUGGUGUAGCGUCUGCGUUGUUCGCCUGACAUGAACAUUUUGCAGAAAUCCUUCUUUUUCCAAGGAAAAUAAAACGAUAACCUUGAAGCUCAUUUCCUGCCAUUUAUCGAGUCAUGCUCAGUAGCCCUGUUUACAUCAGCAGGAUGGACUCUGAUAACAGGAACGCCCUGUUACAGGAACAGCAGUAUCUAUUUCAUCUCUUCCACUUUACUCUGUUAUCUGAUGCCUCUACUUUCUCCUCUCCAGGGGGAAAAUAUACCAGAGUCCUCAACAACGAUCUGCCACACCAACCUGACCACAGUAUACGAUAAGCUGGAGGCCCAUCGCAUGAUCACGGACAACCAUGCUGAAAAUACCUGAGACCACACGAGAAAUUCCCAACCGAGAGUUUCCAGAAAGAAAAUUUUCAGGUUAUUGUUUUUUUGACUGAAUUAGUUGCUUUCGUUUUAUUUACAUUAUUUCAUUUAUUUUACGAACUGCAUGUGCCUCUGUGUCAGCCUGUUAGAUUUCUGUUAUUGAGUCUCACAUUUCAGUUGAAUUCACAGCAAAGCUUGUUUUCACUUCCUGCAGCUAAUAAAAAGUCUGUGCAUGAAGGAAUUUGGGAAAUGAGUCAAUGAUUUAAAAACAACUAACACACUCAGCUCAGGUACAGCUGAACUGGUUUCAUAGUUAAAGCUGUCGACUGAAUGCAGCGAAGCAGCCACGAUGUCCAAACAUCGGCUUUGUGUGAAAGAGAUCAACCGAGUUCCACUUUUGAGUUACACAAUUUUGUACCACAAGACGUGCAGCGAGUCAGUCUUGUUUUCUCCAUCCAGUGUUAAAAUGAUCUUCCUUGUUCAGCCCAGACUGUGCAGGCUGGUGGUGGCAUCUCACCCGGACUGUUGGCUGAUACUUUUGGUGAUUUAUGUUCAGACUGGUUCCAAAAAACAUUUCAUCCUUCAUGUUUUCUGUCUUGUUCUCCCACUCUUGGUUUUCUGUGUCUGUGUGUUUCCUUGGAAAUAUCAUAACCUCAUUUUGUAAAUAAACCUGUUCAAACCUUUCCAUUGCUCAGCAUGUGGGUCCUUCCUUCUGCCUGCAGACUAGUGUUACCUGUUGCUUGUCAGGUGAUACUCCCUCUAACCCGGAUGCUCCCAUUGGUCCAGAGCCGUCCUCUGGUUCUCAGCAGCAGUGUGGACCAACAUCACCUGGAACCUCUGUUACAAAAAGACUUUUUUGUGUAAUGAUCAGUGUUGGGAAGGUUACUUUUAACAUGAAUUCCACUACAGAUUACAGAUUACAUGCCCCAAAAUGUAUUUUGUAAUGUAAUCCAUUACAUUACUCAAUGAGAGUAACGUAUUCUGAAUACUUUGGAUUACUUAAUAUAUUAUCAUCCUUUUUACAACUACAUGAAUGUGAUUUAUUACUAUUACUGAAGGUUACUCUCCACACCAACACCAGCUAGAUGUUUGAAUCUUAAUAUAAAUGAGUAACAGUAGGUGGACAUUAGGUAAGGCUGCACUUUUUGCUGUGAUCUCGUGUAGAAAACUAUUCCUCGCGUAUAUAAAACAGGUCCGCGGCUCUGAACCGUAGUAAAGGGACCUCUGGCUGAUACGUCGGGUUCAUGUCGGCUCGUAGCUGAAAACUAGCUUUGCUUUGUUGUCUGGGUCACUUUGCUAGCAGAGACAGAGAGAGGCGUUGAAAGGCUGCUGCAACAGAACUUAUUGUUUCAGAGGAAACAGGAACACAGUGUACAGUCGAGUCUUAACAGCUUACUCACAGCUGGGCUCGUCGGCUCUGUUUGGCUGCAGUGGUUAUUAUUAUAUUUACAUGCUUCAUACAUGCGAUGCCUGUAACACUCUGCCUAUUGCCUUCAUAUUAAAUCUUUUUUUGAAUAAUAAUUUUUUUAAAUAUUCCUUCGCGUCAUUAUGCGGCUGCAAGUAGAGGUGACAUGAGCCGUGACGUUCAGACACGGCAUUAGAGCCUCGCGUGUUUUGUUUGGGUUUCCACCGGCGUGGACUUACAGAAAAUAGAGAGGGGACAGCCGAACAUAUGAAACAGGAAAAUACCGCCGUGUAAUCCGUUUAUUUUGACAAAGUUACUGUAUUCUAAGUACCACCUUUUUAAACGGUAACUGUAACUGAAUACAGUUACUCAUAUUUUGUAUUUUAAAUAUGUAACGGCGGUACAUGUACUCCAUUACUUCCCAAGACUGGUAAUAACCAUAUUCAACAUUACAAGGACACUCAGCAGCAACCGGUCCAACCAGGUCGGGUCCAAGCAGCUCUGCAGCCGUCUUCUCAACAGCCAACUCUCUGCACCUCAUAUGUCCUCGCCAGCUGACUGUAAUACUGCUGAAUACUGAAAUGUCUGAUCUUAAUCAGAGAUCCGUCCAUCUGUCAAUCAGACCCUCUUUUCUGCUGACUCAGUUAAAGAAGCUUACACCUCACCUCUGGUAUCUGUUGGUCUCUCAGCUAUAGUAACUGCACUCGUGCACAAUCCAGGGAUUCAGCAGCUUUUGUCCUGCGUCCAGUUUGUUUGAAAUCCUGGUGGAAACGGUGGCUUCUGAUGUUCAUGCUCACCUCUCUGCCAAUAACCUUCAUGAACAAUAACAUGUGGUUUCCACCUCCUCACAGCAACAGCCUCGGUAAAUGUCCACACCCAGUUCAUUCUCUGAACUCACACCCAAGGAUCUGACCUGGAGUCUGUUCUGUUUAUUAUUUAUCUACUUCUUAUUGGUCAAAUCUUCCCCUUAAUAUCAGUUCAGCAUCAUUAUCAUUAUUAUCAUUAUUAAUUAAUUAAUAUUUGCUGGUUUUAUACGUUUUAAGCUUUGGUUUCUGUCCUGUGGAGCUAAACGUGAUCACUGAUGUUCAACAACAUUUAUUAGUUUAUAAAGUCCUAAUCCAUAACACACCCGUCCCUGUGUGAUGUCACUGUUACUUUAGUAGUGUGUGACAGCUAAUGUUUUUUCUUCUGCCCACAUAUUCUGUGAUAUUCUGCAAACGUGUAAUUAACAUGUAACUAAAGGCACAUUAAUCUGUCAUUUUUAACAAUGAAGUUAUUUAUAUUUGCAUGCCAAUAAAGACUGAACUUAUCAGAC
Molecule: long non-coding RNA, 4496 nt
Organism: Astatotilapia calliptera (eastern happy)
Lineage: Eukaryota; Metazoa; Chordata; Actinopteri; Cichliformes; Cichlidae
Source: Ensembl